This 492-nucleotide ribosomal RNA is filed under the name uncultured bacterium. Its description in RNAcentral is "partial 16S ribosomal RNA". It matches the Rfam family "Bacterial small subunit ribosomal RNA", at positions 29 to 507 of the family's 1533-position model. The record is from RNAcentral.
AGUGAACGCUGGCGGUAGGCCUAACACAUGCAAGUCGAACGGCAGCACAGUAAGAGCUUGCUCUUACGGGUGGCGAGUGGCGGACGGGUGAGGAAUACAUCGGAAUCUACUUUUUCGUGGGGGCUAACGUAGGGAAACUUACGCUAAUACCGCAUACGACCUACGGGUGAAAGCAGGGGAUCUUCGGACCUUGCGCGAUUGAAUGAGCCUAUGUCGGAUUAGCUAGUUGGCGGGGUAAAGGCCCACCAAGGCGACGAUCCGUAGCUGGUCUGAGAGGAUGAUCAGCCACACUGGAACUGAGACACGGUCCAGACUCCGACGGGAGGCAGCAGUGGGGAAUAUUGGACAAUGGGCGCAAGCCUGAUCCAGCCAUACCGCGUGGGUGAAGAAGGCCUUCGGGUUGUAAAGCCCUUUUGUUGGGAAAGAAAAGCAGCAGGUUAAUACCCCGCUGUUCUGACGGUACCCAAAGAAUAAGCACCGGCUAACUUCGUG